Long non-coding RNA from Phyllostomus discolor (pale spear-nosed bat), 1809 nucleotides. RefSeq lists it as uncharacterized. Lineage: Eukaryota; Metazoa; Chordata; Mammalia; Chiroptera; Phyllostomidae. The transcript is spliced from 2 exons. The record is from RefSeq and is a predicted model, not a curated record.
AUAUGAGAUUCUUUUGUUGUAAAACAUAUACAGUUCAUACAGUUCUCAUAAAUGCAGCCUGUCAAUAUUUUACAUAAAAGCUAUUUGAUACAUCUGAUUUAUUCAAUCAGAACAGAGAAGACCAAAUACUGGUCAGAGAAGUUUAAACUUAGUUGAUAAUUAAGACUGAGUUAAGAUCACAAUUAAACAUUGUAUUCAGACAGCCAUAAAUGUCCACAGGAUUUUCAAAAUAUGUUUUAUUUUGGCAAUAUGUACACUUAUCAUGACUUGUCCCUCACCUCAGGCCCCUAAGCAAUGAGAAUGUGAAAUACAAGAUCAGUCAAAGGCAGGACUGGGUGUCUUGAAAAUAGCCUGCAUUAAAAUGAGAGGGAGGGGUGAGGAGGAAGGUUAAGUAUUUUGAUCAGUAGAACAUGAUUGAUUGAAAUUCAUCCAUUGUCAUCCUAAAUGACUAAUUAGGCAACAUCCUUUUAAACAUAGUUUUUUUUAAAAAACAUUCCACUAACUGCAUAUGACAGAAAGAAAAAAAAAUUAAACCUUUGAGAUACAUUCCAUGUCACAGGAAGUUAAGCAAGUCAAAUAAGUUCUUGCCCUUUUUAUUGAGUCAACACAAAUGAAACAUAUAUUUUUGAAAAUCAGCAUAUACAAUGUGCAUGUUCAAAUUUGACUUUAAACAGAGAAAUGUGUUCCCUCAUUCAUUCACCUCAACAAGGAGUUUAUUUAUAAUUUAUUUAUUUAUAUAAUUACUAUGUGCUACACAUUGUUCUUCAUGUUGAAGAUACAAUAGUGAUGAAAAUAGGCAUACUCAUGGUCCUUAUGACCUUCAGGUACCAGUGUAGAGUGCUGUAUAUGUGCACAGAGGUAGAGGGAGAGACACCAAACCAAAGGAACAUUUGAAUUGAAGUAGUAAAGUUUAUCACCAAGGCAGCUAGCUAGUUUAUGACAUGCUGGAAGAAUGUUGUACAUUUCAUUUUUUGCUCCUUUCAUAGUCUUUGUCUAAUUCUAUCCUAUUUUUAUAAGCUUGGAAAACUUUAUCAUGAGUCUGUAUAGUCUAACUUGUUUUUGCAAUGUUGUAUGAUUCUCUUGGAGUAAAAAAGUUCGUUGUCUAAAUUGACCAGUCUGGGUAAAUUUAAAAGUAGUUUCUCUAACAUUGAGGAUUUUGAAAAAGACAAAAUAAAUCACACAUAAGCACACACACAAGUCACUAAGAAGGGUGAAUAGAAGCAACACUAUUCAUUUAUCUUCAGAAACAUUUAACUGCCAAAUCACAAUGUAUCAGUCUAAAAGGCAAAUUUGAAGCUUUCUUAUUUUGAAACAAUAAGAUAAGCUGAAUAUAUAGAUUUAUCAUAAAUGACUUAAAGUGCAAUUCUGACAGAAUUAAAUUUUUUUCUCUUGCUUCCAAAUGUAUAUUUUACAUUAUUAUUAAAUUUUCAUUCUCCCUGUGGAACCAGCAACUAAUAUUUGCUGUGUAGUCCAUGUGCACCUUAUAAAUAUGAGUACUAUUUACAGGAAUGUUACAUACAUACUUUGGCUUGACCAAUAUUAGCAAGAAAGUUAUGGUGCUAGUAUAUCUUAAUGAGUAUAUUUAGGUCCCUAGCACAUUCCUAAUACUUACAUAUAUUUUUGGCUUGUCACCAUUGACAUCUAGGAAAUUUUGAGUGACUGCCUUCUGCAAUAAUUUCAAGUUCUGUUUUGUCUUGUUCUGCUGAUAAUGGAGAUUUAAAAGUACUCAGUUCUUCCCCUAUAUCUUUCUUUGAAGUCCUACUUCGUGAUGAAUGACACUCAGUAUUCUUAUUUUAGUGUUGAAAAUAA